CCUACGGGCGGCUGCAGUGAGGAAUAUUGCUCAAUGGAGGAAACUCUGAUGCAGCAAAGCAGCGUGAGGGAGGAAGUCUUUAUGUAUGUUAAGCUCUAUUUGCAGGGGAUUGAAACGAAGGUCGCUGAAAAAGAAGCCCCGGCUAACUACGUGCGAGCAGCCGCGGUCAUACGUAGGGGGCAAGCGGUAUCCGGAUUUACUGGGUGUAAAGGGAGCGUAGAGGGAAAGGUAAGUCAGAAGUGAAAGCCUAAGGCUCAACCAUGGGAUUGCUGUUGAAACUGGCAAACUAGAGUACGGGAGAGGUAAGAGGAAUUCGUAGUGUAGCGGUGAAAUGCGUAGAUAUUAGGAGGAACACCAGUGGCGAAGGCAGCUUACUGGACCGAAACUGACAUUGAGGCUCGAAAGCGUGGGUAUCAAACAGGAUUAGAUACCCCUGUAGUC
RNAcentral lists this ribosomal RNA (441 nucleotides) under uncultured bacterium. RNAcentral describes it as "partial 16S ribosomal RNA". It matches the Rfam family "Bacterial small subunit ribosomal RNA", at positions 338 to 795 of the family's 1533-position model. The record is from RNAcentral.